This 491-nucleotide ribosomal RNA is filed under the name uncultured bacterium. Its description in RNAcentral is "bacterial SSU rRNA". It matches the Rfam family "Bacterial small subunit ribosomal RNA", at positions 1011 to 1501 of the family's 1533-position model. The record is from RNAcentral.
GGUGCCGGCUUGCCGGAACUUGGUGACAGGUGGUGCAUGCCUGUCGUCAGCUCGUGUCGUGAGAUGUUGGGUUAAGUCCCGCAACGAGCGCAACCCCUAUUGUAUGUUGCUACCAUUAAGUUGAGCACUCAUGCGAUACUGCCUGCGAUGAGCAGGAGGAAGGUGGGGAUGACGUCAAGUCAUCAUGCCCCUUAUACGCUGGGCUACACACGUGCUACAAUGGGCAGUACAGAGAGUUGCCAACCCGCGAGGGUGAGCUAAUCUCUUAAAGCUGUUCUUAGUUCGGAUUGUACUCUGCAACUCGAGUACAUGAAGUUGGAAUCGCUAGUAAUCGCAAAUCAGCAUGUUGCGGUGAAUACGUUCUCGGGUCUUGUACACACCGCCCGUCACACCACGAGAGUUGGUUGCACCUGAAGUAGCAGGCCUAACCGUAAGGAGGGAUGUUCCUAAGGUGUGAUUAGCGAUUGGGGUGAAGUCGUAACAAGGUAACC